RNAcentral lists this ribosomal RNA (495 nucleotides) under Azemiops feae. RNAcentral's name for it is "partial 12S ribosomal RNA". It matches the Rfam family "Bacterial small subunit ribosomal RNA", at positions 875 to 1520 of the family's 1533-position model. The record is from RNAcentral. Lineage: Eukaryota; Metazoa; Chordata; Lepidosauria; Squamata; Viperidae.
ACCUAACCGUAAUACACAAUUAAACCACCAAUUGUUCGCCAAACAACUACGAGUAAUAACUUAAAACUUAAAAGACUUGACGGUGCUUCAUCACAACCUAGAGGGGCCUGUCUAACAACCGAUAACCCACGAUUAACCCAACCCUUUCUCGCCAACAGUCUAUAUACCGCCGUCGCCAGCUUACCUUGUAAAGGAAAUAUAGUGAGCUAAAUAGUACUACACUAAAACGACAGGUCGAGGUGUAACCAAUGAAAAGGAUCAAGAUGGGCCACAUUCUCCUGACCCGAGAAUACGAAUAACACUAUGAAAAUUAGUGCUUGAAGGCGGAUUUAGCAGUAAGAUAAGAAUAAAACACUUAACUGAACAUAUAGCAAUGAAGUGCGUACACACCGCCCGUCAUCCCUGCCAAACACAAUUAAUUUAAAUAAACCUACCCUAAAAUUAAACCAGGGCAAGUCGUAACAUGGUAAGUGUACUGGAAAGUGUACUUAGAAA